GUCUACUCUAAUAUCACGUUUAACUGAGUUCCAGUUAACGACACAGUGUAUAAGGAGUGUUACAUUUCGACCUUCUACAAGUUAGAAAGAAACCAGUCAUACCGUUCCAUACAAUAGACAUAUUGGAACUUAUGGUCUGAACUGUCCUAUCCGAUCUUGGCGAUCUAACGUGUAACGCACAACGAAGUCGAAAGUCAUUGUGUAAAUAGUCAAUGAAACUUGACCUUUACAAGUCAAUCUACGUGAUACGUACACUAUAAGUUAACUAUACUAUUAAAGUGUUAGUACGUUCAACCGCGUAGUAGUGAUAUUUAUGUACUUAGCACAUUGUAUUUACGACUACCACGAUACAACAAAGACUUGACACACGUAGUGUCCAAUUGUAGCAUUCCGAAGGUUUUGUACAAAGAUUGUUCUCCGUCAAGAGGCCGUGUAGAAACCAGCUUAAAAGCCUUCUUCAACUUCGAUUGUUAUAGUACUUAUUGUUUGAAUCAAAACGUCCUCGCCUAGAUCUUUAUUUUUGUUUCUUCCUUAAACUACGACUUUACCUCCGAUUCUUUCUUCGAAUACUCUUCAGCGUGGGAUUAUGUGUGGGAUUAUUCUUACCAGUACUGCUUCCUAUCGGUUUUCCAGACUAAGACGGAAAUUCGACUUCUUUUAAGAUCGAAUACCACUGUGUCUUGUUUUACCACCCCUGUUUCAACUAUUAUCGCUGUUACGGUUCUUCCUUCCCCACCUUAGCCCCUUUCGAACACUUCUCUUCCGGGGACUCUUGUGACUACGGUUCCUUCUCUUCAGUCUACUACGACUCCUCAACUUUCACAGUCUACGUGUUCCCUCGCCCGACGAGAGCCACGAGCUGGCCCGCGAGUGGCUGCUCCUCCUCAUGGCGGCGCGCGCGGGUCCACGUCGCGUUCCUGCACCUCCGUCUCCCCAUGCGGCAGCUCCCAUAGAGCCACUCGCCCGUGCUCUGGACGUAGUGGCACGGCAGGGAGUUGCAGCGUAAACUGUAGCCGGCGCCGGGCGAGAAGCGGCACGCGAUCCUGGUGGAGAAGUAGUGCGUGCGGUGGAGCUGGUGUAGCAGGAAAACAGUCACAGAAGUUAACGAAACGACUUAUCACCCACCAUCGACGAACUCACUUCUAGAAGCAUAGCUCCAAACAAAUGAUGGCACCUAACGAAUAUAGUGGAACAAGACAUUAACAGACAAUGAACAACAUGUGUAUGACUGAUCCGCAACACAGGCACAACGACAAAAGGUAAACGGAAACGACCAAUUGAAUGAAAAGUUCCUGAUAAAGAAGACGAGUCCUACACGGGAUGACAUAGAAAACACUAAGGAUAAAACCUCUGGGACCGCCGCGUACAAGGAAACGGAUGAGAAAACAUGUACACACUCUAUCGGCUGCUACCCCGACACUAACGACCACAACUCGAACUCGAAGGAUGCCUAUCACACAGGGACGAAGGUCUAUCCUGCAACGAUUUUAAAGACGUCCCCCCGAUACCCAAACAAUAGUCCCUGAUGCCCAAAGUAUCACAACCAAGUAUGGUAAGUCCUCGUCACGACCACGAUUCUUGCGACCGUUACGUUUCUUUUGUUCCGUCAUUAAGUAGAUAGCGGAUUCUACUGGUACCUGCCACUAUUACAUUUGUCAGGUCAACGACUACUUGUACUAAACAGCUGUUCCUUCGAAUUAUCGAUGGUUCGUGUUGAAGCACGAGACGUUUCUAUUCUAAGUAGUUUGUGGCUUCCUCCAAUCAAAAUGGUCACGUUGUUACCGCCGGUGGCACCAGGACAACCUCGGAGGGAACGGCACCUUUCAGUGUUCGAGGUCCCUCACGGCCGUGUUGGACUUGUCUACGGCGGAUGUGACCUUCUUUUUGUAUAAUAAACUUAAUAUAUUUCACUUGGUACGAUGUUACCUUUUCUUGGUACGCUACUUUUUUCUUUCCGUGUUUCUCGGCGACCUACUACUAAAACUACUAAUACUGUUCUGGUAAUAAUACUUUCCAUAAAGAAUAUAGACAUGUGCUAAUGUACCAUAAAGAAUAUUACUAGUAACCCUCUUCGUACUGAUGUGAGCGUUUUAGAAACAACCCACAGAGGGCGAAAGCCAUGUGCUACGGAUGGAAUCGUCUAAGAAGUCAUGACUUAAGCCUGGACACCUCCUUCUUAUCAUUAAUGGAAAAGAUCCUCAUGACUUAAGCCUGGACACCUACUCUAAGGGUCUCAGUCACAGUCUAGCAGUCAGAGGUUCUAGUGGUGAAUGGCGAUUAUAGUGAAUCUUACGAGGAAUAUUGUGACUGUCAGGUGUACCACUACGUACGUCACUCUCUUUACAGGUCUUGGUCGUACUACUACUCACGUCGUCUUCGUUACCGCUUUCGGACGGCCUACCACUUAGGUGGAGUUAACCAUCGAAUGAAAUACACUAAUGACACUCGUAUGACUUCAUACUAAACUAGCUCAGUAGACGUCGUUUCGGACUAAACUAACACAGACCUGGAGAACUUUUUUAGCUUGUUGCUGGUAAUGUCUUCGGACUAAACCAGCUCGGACGUGGAUGUUUCUUUGAACUAAACUAACUCAGGUCAUGAGGAUCCUUCCGACUAAACCAAGUCGGACCCGGACGUCCCCUCGAAGUAAACCAACUCAGGUCUGGAAGAUCCUUAAGAGUUGACUAACUCGGACCUGGACGUUCCUUCGAACUAAAAUUAGUUGGGACUGGUUGUGUACGAAACAACUAGUAGCACAACUUUCCGGUCAUCAGUGAGGUUCGUCGAUGCUCUUACUUUACUCUAAGAGGAAGGUGAGUAUCACCCAGCGCCUAUGUUCGUUCCCGCCGCGGUAGACGGUUAAGGUGUCGAGGCUCGACGUCGGCCUCGACGACCCGGCGGACUCUACGUCUACCUCCGCGUCGAGGAGGCUCGACGGCCCAGCGACUCUACGUCUACCUCGGCCUCGUGGAGGCUCGACGUCGUCCUUGACUCUACGUCUACCUCAGCCUCGUGGAGGCUCGACGUCGUCUUCGGCGAGGCGACGGUUCGAUAUCACACUCGGUGGCGCUUCUACCUCGGGUUCCACAAGAGUGAAGUCAUGUCACCCCUCUCCUUGUACUGCGUAUGGUACUUGACCAGCUACCUUGGUUCUGGUCGUCAGUACGAUCUGUGCACCAGUCGCGACGCGCAGCACCACCGUCAACCACUUCGUUGAUAACCGCCACAAAAACAGAGAGUCGUGAACCGUACUAACAU
Molecule: ribosomal RNA, 3258 nt
Filed under: Triticum aestivum (bread wheat)
Lineage: Eukaryota; Viridiplantae; Streptophyta; Magnoliopsida; Poales; Poaceae
Description: partial small subunit ribosomal RNA
Source: RNAcentral